GGGUUCGACCGCACUUGCGGUCGGAGGUCAAUUCGGAUGGUCGGGCCGCCAUCCG
RNAcentral lists this non-coding RNA (55 nucleotides) under unclassified sequences. RNAcentral describes it as "Li+-I sequence". It matches the Rfam family "nhaA-I RNA". Rfam says of the family: Acidobacteria, Alphaproteobacteria, Betaproteobacteria and Gammaproteobacteria, Verrucomicrobia, cand. division NC10. Downstream gene The record is from Rfam by way of RNAcentral.